UACGGAGGGUGCGAGCGAUAAUCGGAAUAACAGGGCGUAAAUCGCUCGUAGGUGGUUGAUUCAGUAAGAUGUGAAAGCCCAGGGCUUAACCUGGGAACUGCACCUGAUACUGCUUGACUAGAGUACGGUAGAGGGCAGUGGAAUUUCCUGUGUAGCGGUGAAAUGCGUAGAUAUAGGAAGGAACACCAGUGGCGAAGGCGACUGCCUGGACUGAUACUGACACUGAGGUGCGAAAGCGUGGGUAGCAAACAGG
This 253-nucleotide unclassified non-coding RNA is filed under the name uncultured Oceanospirillales bacterium. Its description in RNAcentral is "contains 16S-23S intergenic spacer region". It matches the Rfam family "Bacterial small subunit ribosomal RNA", at positions 524 to 776 of the family's 1533-position model. Lineage: Bacteria; Pseudomonadati; Pseudomonadota; Gammaproteobacteria; Oceanospirillales. The record is from RNAcentral.